Molecule: ribosomal RNA, 392 nt
Filed under: uncultured bacterium
Lineage: Bacteria
Description: bacterial SSU rRNA
Rfam family: Bacterial small subunit ribosomal RNA
Source: RNAcentral
GACAAACGCUGGCGGCAUGCCUAACACAUGCAAGUCGAACGGCAGCACGGGGGCAACCCUGGUGGCGAGUGGCGAACGGGUGAGUAAUGCAUCGGAACGUACCCAGUCGUGGGGGAUAACGCAGCGAAAGUUGUGCUAAUACCGCAUACGACCUGAGGGAGAAAGCGGGGGAUCGCAAGACCUCGCGCGAUUGGAGCGGCCGAUGCCGGAUUAGCUAGUUGGUAGGGUAAAGGCCUACCAAGGCGACGAUCCGUAGCUGGUCUGAGAGGACGACCAGCCACACUGGAACUGAGACACGGUCCAGACUCCUACGGGAGGCAGCAGUGGGGAAUUUUGGACAAUGGGGGCAAGCCUGAUCCAGCCAUGCCGCGUGAGUGAAGAAGGCCUCGGUU